Non-coding RNA from Malus domestica (apple), 1168 nucleotides. Lineage: Eukaryota; Viridiplantae; Streptophyta; Magnoliopsida; Rosales; Rosaceae. The record is from RefSeq and is a predicted model, not a curated record.
CCAAAAAGAGGAAAAAGAGGAUUUUACCCUCCAUUUCCGUCGACCCAUUUACACAUGCCCACCGGAGUGGGUUUCGACCAUUUCCACCAUUUUUUCAGGAGAAAUUCAACCAUCCAUCACCUGCAACCUCUUCCACCAUCUCCCAUCUUCCAUCUCCACCCAAAUUUGAGGGGUUUUAGGUCCAAAAUAGUGUAAAACCGUGCGAGUGACCCAAGGAGUUUUGACGGCGAUUCCGCCAUUCCGGCUAGUCUCACCACCCACCACCACCCUUAAUCAAUUUCCCUUGGACCCAAGAACAAGAUCCAACUGGUGGUUGGGGCGUUGGAACACCAAGGAAGCCGAAUUGAAGGACACCUACCUUAGGGUUUCGUUAGGUGCGAGCCAAUUUGAGGGCCUUCCUGGCCAAAUUAGAAUCGACCACAGUGCGUUUCAGACGCUGAUUAUGAUUUACAGUGUGAAGGAGUUUUUGGAAGAUGGGGUUUAUAUACCGACUGAUGUGAAGGUGAAGCAGAUGAAGAGGGUGAAGUCGGACUGUGUGACAGUGCAGGAGAAGUUUAGCAACGAUAGGGAUCCAGUGGUGACUGCUUAUGAGGUUAGGGAUAAACCCUCGACAUUGAAGGCGAAGGAUUGGGACUAAGUUGUGGUGGUUUUCGUCUUACUAAGAUUUUCAAUAAGAUUAUGGGGUUUUUCAUGCGAUUCGAAGAUGAUAGUGUGGAAUAAGCAAAGAUUGUGAAACCGUGGAAUGUGAAGAUCAUCUCGGUUGGUUGGUAGAAUUUAUUUGAUUUAAUCGGUUACACGUAAAAGUUCCACUGAAUUAUGCUCGUAGGAAAAAAAAAUUAGUUGUCUUAAUGUCUUAAUUUGCUGUUGCAAUGGGAAAAAAUGGUUCCCUUUCAUUUAUGCUUGUUAUUGAUAUGUAAAUGUAUUUGCUGUGAUAGUUUUGUUUUAAGCAAGUUGUGUUCAAAUGUGAGCCUUUGGAUCAUAUUCCAUAUGGCAUUUAGAUUAGAUUGUAAUGAGUCAUAACUCAUGACAAGUGUAAGCAUCUUACAUGAUGACUUAAGAAUGAAUGGUUGUGAUUGCUUUGUAAUAGGGUGAGUGGAAUUGUCUUUCACUCCUCUAACUAUCAUAUAUGCUGAAGAGGUUUUCAGUAUGUAAGUGAAGUGAAUAGAAU